Molecule: ribosomal RNA, 460 nt
Filed under: uncultured bacterium
Lineage: Bacteria
Description: partial 16S ribosomal RNA
Rfam family: Bacterial small subunit ribosomal RNA
Source: RNAcentral
CCUACGGGGGGCAGCAGUGAGGAAUAUUGGUCAAUGGACGAGAGUCUGAACCAGCCAAGUAGCGUGAAGGAUGACUGCCCUAUGGGUUGUAAACUUCUUUUAUAAAGGAAUAAAACGAGGCACGUGUGCCUUUUUGCAUGUACUUUAUGAAUAAGGAUCGGCUAACUACGUGCCAGCAGCCGCGGUAAUACGGAGGAUCCGAGCGUUAUCCGGAUUUAGUGGGUGUAAAGGGAGCGUAGAUGGGUUGGUAAGGCAGUUGUGAAAGUUUGCGGCUCAACCGUAAAAUUGCAAUUGAUACUGGCAGUCUUGAGUACAGUUGAGGUAGGCGGAAUUCGUGGUGUAGCGGUGAAAUGCUUAGAUAUCACGAAGAACCCCGAUUGCGAAGGCAGCUUACUAAACUGUGACUGACAUUGAUGCUCGAAAGUGUGGGUAUCAAACAGGAUUAGAUACCCUAGUAGUC